RNAcentral lists this long non-coding RNA (565 nucleotides) under Chrysolophus pictus (golden pheasant). RNAcentral describes it as "lncRNA (ENSCPIG00010000343.1)". The record is from RNAcentral. Lineage: Eukaryota; Metazoa; Chordata; Aves; Galliformes; Phasianidae.
AUGAAAAGAGAAUUUUCUUCUGAAGAAUUAAGCAAAGCUUCAGAAAGGAAGAUGGCUAUUUCAAAAUGAGAUUGAAGAUAAAGCAGUGUGAUUUCUCAGUACCUUGGAUCAGUGAGACUGAAACCAGGCUACACCCGCUUUUGUUGCUGCAAAAUGUGAAGUUGUUUUUGCAGUCAAGGAUGUGCACUUACAAAGUCCUUAUCAGGACUAGCCCAGAAGGCUGCACAGCUUUGCAGAACCUGCUCCUUACAACAGCCCCUAUUGCAAAUCCUUCGAAAGCAGCAACUGAAGAGAUUCCCCUGCAGAGAGGGCUUGCAGACAGAGGGUGCAAAGGAGCAGCAGAUCACGCACAGCAGGUUUCUCAGCCCACAGGACAUUCCUUUGAAAGCCCAAUAGCUGUACACGCUAUUUCUAAUUUCAGCUGCAGUGAUUUAAAAGGCAUGAAGAUUGGUCUCCCCUGAAGUUGUCGGGAUGCCAGGCAUCGCCUCGUGGGGCAUGCUUUUGGUGUAAACUCUGCCAGGGUUUAUGAGGAAUCUUUACAGAGCAGAGGAAAUCAUGCUGGAGC